UUAAAAUUAUUUUCUUUUAUCAAUUUAAUAUAAAAUCGCACAUUAUUAAUUAAUUAGGCGCGAGCACGUUUGACAGUUCGACCAAGCCUGGAGCACAGAUUAGAGAGGUUAAACACCCCCGUUUUUAAGGUAACUCAAAAAGUGCAAAAUUUAUAAGGUCUCCUUCAGAACACAGAAUACACACAGUAGGCGUUCUAUAUAAACUCAUGUAGACAACGAUUUUGAAAAAAAAUUUAUUCAAAAAACUGUUUAUAAAUGACUAACUUUAUAACUCUUCCAUUUCAUCUGAUGCAGUAUCGGCGUUGAAUGAGUUAUUGUUUAAUCCUUCAGUUUUUCCGUUUCCUGAGUCAUUAAAGUCUGAGUCAGAACUGCAAAUAAGAUGUUAGAAAUAACUGAGUUUAAACUACUGUUUAACUUUCUUACCUAGUAGACGAAUUGUGGUUUGUGGAUGUUCGUUUCAUAAUAGAAGGCAGUUUGGAAUUGAAAACAAUUGCUUGUCUAUUAUCAUAAAAUUUACAAAUGCCUUUUUCGAAGAGAUUAUCCUCUUUAAAUUGUAAAAUCACAGUUUCGUUCUGUAUGCUGCGACUGAUGACUUCUUCACAUGGAAUAACUAGUUGUCUGUUGCCACCAGAAUUGACUUCAAUUUGAAAUUUAUCUUCAAUUUUCACAACUGUUAUAUUUCCUUUAACUGUUUUGAAUGGAUUUCCAUCAACCAUGGUUAUUUCACCAUCUCCAAUGUUACAUGAAUCAACCAUUUUCUGUUUUCUUCUUCUCUUUUGGAUAAUGAAAAGUUCGGUUAACGCAGCUGAUGGCUUGAAAUCACUAAAAAGAUAUAAUAAAAAAUGCAACUUAUUGGUACAAGCAAAAAAUAAUCACUUGCGAUAAUCGACCUAACCUCACUAGAUGAAAUUUAAAAUCAUAUCGUGCAACAUAUUUCAAUAUUACUUACCGAUAAUGAUACUCCAUGUUGCUCUAGUUAUAGAAAGCUAUUAAUUGUUGAUAAAAAAAUAAAGAACGUUAGGACCUUUUAAAAGUGUAAAAAUUUAGAAUAUAUUUACGGUUGUUUACAUGUGCACAGAACUUACUGCCACAGAAUAACAGGUUUUACAGAAACGCAUCCGUCCUUGUCCCGAUAGAGCGAAAGCACAGAUUAGAGAGGUGCCUGGAGGAAAAACAAUUCUAACCUCACAACGUAAACUGCAUUUGUUGUUCGGUGAUAGAGUAUAAAAAAACUGUUAAUUUGUUGUUUGUGAGCUGAAUUUUGUGACCAAACUCGUAAAAACUAUGCCUAACUUUUGUAUGGUGGUAAAUUGUGGAAGUGUCGCUUCCAGAGAUGUUAAUAUACGUUUUUUCAGGAUACCUUCUAUAUUUACGCCAGGGAAAAAGCUCUGCGCCUUGUCACAACGACGUAGAGAAAUGUGGAUCAAAGCUUUAAGAAGAGAAGAUCUAACGGAUACGAAAAUGAAAUAUGGACGUAUUUGUUCACGUCAUUUCCACUCUGGAAAACCAGCAGCUUUGAAGGAUACCACUCAUCCUGACUGGGUUCCUUCGAAAAACAUGGGUUACAACGUUACUGGCAAAAAAAUUAGAAAGGUAUCAGCGUUGUAAAGCUAGAGAAGUACAGGUAUUUCUUUUUUUUUGCUUUGUGGCAACCCAGAAGAAUUAAUUUUUAUUUUUGCUUUAUUUUGCUUUUUUUGUAGUGUAGUAGGUAUUCCAGAAUCUGGAUUUUUUUUCCUUUUAGAAUUCGCAGAUUUCUUCUUUUUUUUCUAAACACAUUUUAGCUGUGCCAUCUUGAUUUGUAGAAAGAGGAAGCUGCUGCUACAACUAGUUCUCCAACUGUAGUAGCAGAAAUUGAAAACAUCGAGCAUGUUAAACCUUCCUAGGAACAGUUGGAGCUUGCACUACGUAAUGCCAAUGAUGAAAUUUAUAAAUUAAGAACAGAACUAAAAAAAUAUAAGAUGGAAGAAUAUUUUAUUCAUAAUGAUGAUGGGUGCAUCCAUAAUCCACUGCUCUUGUUUUAAAACUGUAUGUCAUUGGAUAACACACAGACUUGAGUAAAGAUAAAGAGGGAUUCGCGAUAUUUGUUCGGCAACAACUUUUUAAUUUGGACGCUGUAAUCCUUCCAGCUCUAUAGUAAAACCAAUCUUUACACUUCGCUUGUUCUUUAGUCGUAUUGUGAAUCUCCUUACAAUCAGCAACUGGUAUAGAAAAAUCCAAAGAGGCACCUGAAACACCUCACUUAAGCUUUUAUGAAUGUGAUCUUCACUGAAUAAAGUUGUAAUCCAA
RNA transcript from Tribolium castaneum (red flour beetle), 2286 nucleotides. RefSeq lists it as uncharacterized. The record is from RefSeq and is a predicted model, not a curated record. Lineage: Eukaryota; Metazoa; Arthropoda; Insecta; Coleoptera; Tenebrionidae. The transcript has 5 exons.